Molecule: ribosomal RNA, 253 nt
Filed under: uncultured bacterium
Lineage: Bacteria
Description: partial 16S ribosomal RNA
Rfam family: Bacterial small subunit ribosomal RNA
Source: RNAcentral
UACGUAGGGUCCAAGCGUUAUCCGGAAUCACUGGGCGUAAAGCGUGCGUAGGUGGCGUGUUAAGUGUGAUGUUAAAUCGUGUGGCUCAACCAUAUCGAUGUGUCGCAUACUGGCAUGCUAGAGGACAGCAGAGGCAAGUGGAAUUGGUAGUGUAGCAGUGAAAUGCGUAGAUAUUACCAGGAACACCAAUGGCGAAGGCAGCUUGCUGGGCUACUCCUGACACUGAGGUACGAAAGCGUGGGGAGCGAACAGG